RNAcentral lists this ribosomal RNA (497 nucleotides) under uncultured bacterium. RNAcentral's name for it is "partial 16S ribosomal RNA". It matches the Rfam family "Bacterial small subunit ribosomal RNA", at positions 28 to 507 of the family's 1533-position model. The record is from RNAcentral.
GAUGAACGCUGGCGGCGUGCCUAAUACAUGCAAGUCGAGCGAACGGACGAGAAGCUUGCUUCUCUGAUGUUAGCGGCGGACGGGCGAGUAACACGUGGAUAACCUACCUAUAAGACUGGGAUAACUUCGGGAAACCGGAGCUAAUACCGGAUGAUAUUUUGAACCGCAUGGUUCAAAAGUGAAAGACGGUCUUGCUGUCACUUAUAGAUGGAUCCGCGCUGCAUUAGCUAGUUGGUAAGGUAACGGCUUACCAAGGCAACGAUGCAUAGCCGACCUGAGAGGAUGAUCAGCCACACUGGAACUGAGACACGGUCCAGACUCCUACGGGAGGCAGCAGUAGGGAAUCUUCCGCAAUGGGCGAAAGCCUGACGGAGCAACGCCGCGUGAGUGAUGAAGGUCUUCGGAUCGUAAAACUCUGUUAUUAGGGAAGAACAGAUGUGUAAGUAACUGUGCACAUCUUGACGGUACCUAAUCAGAAAGCCACGGCUAACUACGUG